CUCUCUCCUACUUUCUCUUCCUAUCUCUCUCUACUCUCUCUUCCAAAAUUUAAUUUUCAUUUUUUUUUGGUUAUUUGGUAAAUAAGCCCAAAAUUAAAAACUAUCGCAAAUAAACCAACUGAAAAAAGAAAUGUCUCCAAUCAAAAAAGAGCUCCACUAACCACGAUCUCUAAUUUCUUAAAACUGUAAAAUCUUAAAUUCCUAAUUUUUUUCUAAUGAAC
This 221-nucleotide long non-coding RNA is filed under the name Brassica rapa (field mustard). RNAcentral describes it as "long non-coding RNA (BRAP_LNC007884)". The record is from RNAcentral. Lineage: Eukaryota; Viridiplantae; Streptophyta; Magnoliopsida; Brassicales; Brassicaceae.